RNAcentral lists this ribosomal RNA (349 nucleotides) under Galeommatoidea sp. MN7658. RNAcentral's name for it is "partial 16S ribosomal RNA". It matches the Rfam family "Bacterial large subunit ribosomal RNA", at positions 1862 to 2515 of the family's 2925-position model. Lineage: Eukaryota; Metazoa; Mollusca; Bivalvia; Galeommatida. The record is from RNAcentral.
CCCGGUGAUUUUUUAACGGCCGCAAUUAAUAGUUGUGCUAAGGUAGCGUAGUCAAUUGCCCUUUAAAUGGGGGAAGGUAUGAAUGGUUUGACGUAGGAGAAGCUGUCUCUUUUUUACCUAAAGAAAUUUUUUUUCUGGUGAAAAGACCAGAUUAUUAAAAUUAGACGAGAAGACCCUAUCGAGCUUAAUAAAAAAGUUGAAAAUUCUUCUUUGUAAAUUUAGUUGGGGCAACAAAGAAACACGAAAAGAUUUCUUUUGAAGAACUUUGAUCCAGAAUUUUUGAUUAAAGGAAAAAGCUACCGUAGGGAUAACAGCGUUAUCCUUUCUGAGAGAACAAAUUGAAGAAAGG